AACACUUCUUCUUCUGAGCCUUCUACCUUUCUUUCUUUCUUCAAUCAAGGUAAAUUAACUUCUCAGUCUCCUUUCCCAAACAUGCACAUCACUAUCUGCUUGUAUUUCUCCAUCAUCAACGAAUUCUUCAGAUUUUUCAUACCCUUUAACUAAUUCUGAUGUUUUUUGAUAUAAUUCGAAACAAGAUUCAAAUAAUAUCUGCUUGAUCAAAACAAUAUCUUAUCAUUUUGAUUUAGUUUAAGGUUCUAUUUCAAUUUUAGGAAAUCAAAGAGUUUUUUUAUCUUUCAAUUCUUCCGAGGUUUUGAUUGUCUCCUUUGUUCGACUUUUAAUUUUUCAGUGUCUCAUAAUACCAAUAUCCAAUUAAUUUCUAAGCAAGCGAGGUGAAGGAUGAUGCAAAUUUCGUCAAACAUGUACAUGCCUGAAUUUGUAAGCAUACACAACCUUAAUUUCAAGCAAACUAAUAAUCACAAAAUAGAUAUAAUUACUUACCAAUUUUUCUUCACAUUAACACAGGGAAUGGAGGACCCCACUUUGUUUCAUCAAUACCCUAUGGAUUCUUCAUCAGCAUUAUUCCAGCUCGAAGAUCUUGACUUUGAG
This 597-nucleotide long non-coding RNA is filed under the name Glycine max (soybean). RNAcentral describes it as "long non-coding RNA (GMAX_LNC003896)". Lineage: Eukaryota; Viridiplantae; Streptophyta; Magnoliopsida; Fabales; Fabaceae. The record is from RNAcentral.